Molecule: ribosomal RNA, 428 nt
Filed under: Yersinia enterocolitica
Lineage: Bacteria; Pseudomonadati; Pseudomonadota; Gammaproteobacteria; Enterobacterales; Yersiniaceae
Description: bacterial SSU rRNA
Rfam family: Bacterial small subunit ribosomal RNA
Source: RNAcentral
AGCGGCGGACGGGUGAGUAAUGUCUGGGAAACUGCCUGAUGGAGGGGGAUAACUACUGGAAACGGUAGCUAAUACCGCAUAACGUCUUCGGACCAAAGUGGGGGACCUUCGGGCCUCACGCCAUCGGAUGUGCCCAGAUGGGAUUAGCUAGUAGGUGGGGUAAUGGCUCACCUAGGCGACGAUCCCUAGCUGGUCUGAGAGGAUGACCAGCCACACUGGAACUGAGACACGGUCCAGACUCCUACGGGAGGCAGCAGUGGGGAAUAUUGCACAAUGGGCGCAAGCCUGAUGCAGCCAUGCCGCGUGUGUGAAGAAGGCCUUCGGGUUGUAAAGCACUUUCAGCGAGGAGGAAGGCAUAAAGGUUAAUAACCUUUGUGAUUGACGUUACUCGCAGAAGAAGCACCGGCUAACUCCGUGCCAGCAGCCGC